UAGAGUUUGAUCCUGGCUCAGAUUGAACGCUGGCGGCAGGCCUAACACAUGCAAGUCGAGCGGUAACAGAAGGUAGCUUGCUACUUUGCUGACGAGCGGCGGACGGGUGAGUAAUGCCUGGGAACAUGCCUUGAGGUGGGGGACAACAGUUGGAAACGACUGCUAAUACCGCAUAAUGUCUACGGACCAAAGGGGGCUUCGGCUCUCGCCUUUAGAUUGGCCCAAGUGGGAUUAGCUAGUUGGUGAGGUAAUGGCUCACCAAGGCGACGAUCCCUAGCUGGUUUGAGAGGAUGAUCAGCCACACUGGGACUGAGACACGGCCCAGACUCCUACGGGAGGCAGCAGUGGGGAAUAUUGCACAAUGGGCGCAAGCCUGAUGCAGCCAUGCCGCGUGUGUGAAGAAGGCCUUCGGGUUGUAAAGCACUUUCAGUCAGGAGGAAAGGUUAGUAGUUAAUACCUGCUAGCUGUGACGUUACUGACAGAAGAAGCACCGGCUAACUCCGUGCCAGCAGCCGCGGUAAUACGGAGGGUGCGAGCGU
RNAcentral lists this ribosomal RNA (539 nucleotides) under bacterium 4878K4-B12. RNAcentral describes it as "bacterial SSU rRNA". It matches the Rfam family "Bacterial small subunit ribosomal RNA", at positions 1 to 541 of the family's 1533-position model. The record is from RNAcentral.